Molecule: long non-coding RNA, 1598 nt
Filed under: Canis lupus familiaris (dog)
Lineage: Eukaryota; Metazoa; Chordata; Mammalia; Carnivora; Canidae
Description: lncRNA (ENSCAFG00000051578.1)
Source: RNAcentral
GCGAUCCCGCUCGACCGUCCCCAGGCCUUGCAAUCCAUCCAUUAGAAACAAAACAACAACAACAAAAAUCCAUCCGCUAACCAACAUUUCUGCACAGGCUGCUUUCCCUGGUGAUGAGAAAUUAAGUCCACGCGGAUGUCCCCAUCGCCGGAUAGUUAAGGUGGCCGAAACCCAGAGUGCCAACCGUUCUCACGGCCUACGCCACGUUUGCGGCGGGCUUGCCACAUGUCGUGCGUGGUGCCUCUUCGGGUCAGCCCAGACCCAUAAGGAGUGGGGAGUACUACGGUUUCCAGAUGGAAAAGUGGAGGCUCUGAGAAGCAAGGUAGCUUGCCUAGGACCCCAGGGACAGCCGGCGGUGGCCCUGUGAUGCUGCCUGACUCCACAGCACCCCAGGCCCCCCCCCCAUUUUAAACAAACGGCUGAGAAUCGCAGACCAUUUGGCAGGAAAGACCCCCAGGGAGGCCAUAACCUGCUGAUUGAGGAGGACUGGGGCUCAGACAAGGGGAGGAGCUUGCUCAGGGACACAGCAAGACCACGCCCCCGGGUUGGGGUGUUCUUGGGUCCACCCCACUGCCAACCAGCCAGAGGGAGCCAGUGAGCUUGUGCCCUCUUCCAAUGCCACCACUCAGCGGCGUUCACCCUUGUAUGUGCACCGGGUGGAGGUGGGGGGUGCGUUGCAUGGUACAGAUUCCUGGCACCCCCCUCCGAGGUCGGGACAAGAGCCCAGGAAUUGGCAUGUUAUGAAGCACUGUCAUUGAAGAGGACAAUCUGGUGGCCCUGGGCCCCACCCCCAGAGCCCGUAGCUCACACCCCUCCAGAAGGGUGUUCCCAGCGGGGCCUGGGGCAGGAGGUCUUGAGAGGCCCCAGGGAGGCCCCCCUCCCCCUCCAGAUGCGGUCCAGGGAAUAGCGUUUGGAAUCCCAGGGAACUCCGGCACAGCCGGGCUUUGGCCAAAAGCAUCACUAAUCACCUGGACAGCGACGGCCAGUCCAUGCAGUCCUCCCGGCAGCUGUCGGCGGAUCUCAGUGCUGCCCCACGGCUUGGAUGGGGAAAUGGAGGCCGCCCACAGGAAGUGGCCUGGCGGGCCAGGGCCAAGACCACACCCAGCGAUCCCCAGGCCAGGGACCCUCCCCAGCCCAGCAGGUCUUCCCUACCUUGGCUCCACUGGACACAAUCUUCGAAAGCGUCAGGCCAGUGAACGGUCUGAUUUUGCCAGAGGCCCGAGACCCGGACCCAGGCAGAGCCUGAUGGUAACGUGGCGAGAGGGUUCUGCGGAUUGACUGGUCAGCCCCCGGCCCCCUGCCUGGCUCGGACGCUGAGGGGCCAGUGGCUGGAUGAGUGAGAGGACAGCUGGGUGACCCGCGCCUCCCCGAGCUGGGGCCCUGGCCCUCCUGUGGGGCUGGUGGGGCACUGGGCCUCCCGGAGCUGGCUGUGUGCUCCGGCCCGGGCCCUCCGCUGCCAGAAAGCGGAGCCAGGCGGCCCCCGGAUGGGGCCCUGGGCCUCCAAAAUAGGAAGAGGUUCUGGGACACGUGGGUCUUGACCCCACCCCAUCCCCGCCGGCCUCCAAACUGUGUGGCUGGUGGAGGGGACGUGUCACUUA